RNAcentral lists this ribosomal RNA (497 nucleotides) under uncultured bacterium. Its description in RNAcentral is "bacterial SSU rRNA". It matches the Rfam family "Bacterial small subunit ribosomal RNA", at positions 38 to 529 of the family's 1533-position model. The record is from RNAcentral.
GGCGGCAUGCCUAACACAUGCAAGUCGAACGAGGUAGCAAUACCUAGUGGCGCACGGGUGAGUAAUACUUAGGUAACCUUCCUUUUACUGUGGAAUAACCUGUCGAAAGACGGGCUAAUACUGCAUACGUCUAGUCUGUGAUUCAGAUUAGAGAAAGGUGGCUAGCAAUAGCUAUCGGUGAAAGAUGGGCCUGAGCCUGAUUAGCUAGUUGGUGGGGUAAAAGCCCACCAAGGCGACGAUCAGUAGCUGGUCUGAGAGGACGAUCAGCCACACUGGAACUGAAACACGGUCCAGACUCCUACGGGAGGCAGCAGUGGGGAAUAUUGGACAAUGGGGGAAACCCUGAUCCAGCAAUGCCGCGUGAGUGAUGAAGGCCUUCGGGUCGUAAAGCUCUGUCGAAAGGGACGAAACCUGGGUAGGCUAAUAUCCUAUCCAAUUGACGGUACCUUUAAAGGAAGCACCGGCUAACUCUGUGCCAGCAGCCGCGGUAAUACAGA